UUCAAUAAAUUGAACAUAAUUUCGCACCUCUGUUCCUGCUGCAAACUUCUCGAACUCAAAAACACCCAUUGGUCCAUUCCAAAUGAUGGUCUGAGUGUUGUCCAAUGCUUCACUGAAUGAUUUAAUGGAAUCAGGUCCAAUAUCCAAUCCCAACCAUCCAUCUGGGAUGCUUGAUGCUGGCACAAUCUGUGAACAUGUAAAAGAAGAGCUUUAUGUAUAUCCCAACAUUCUAAAUACUAUUCAUCAACUCAUUAGCAUAUUUCAUUAGUUCAGAAAUGUAGAUGAAUUCGAGAAUGAAGAUAAAUUGUCGGUAAAUCGACAGAACUCCUAAUUCCAUCAUUUCACAAGUUUGAAUUUCAAGAGAAAGGGUUUUAUAUUAUAAUAAAGAAACCAAUAUUGUCCAAGCAGCUCCGAG
This 415-nucleotide long non-coding RNA is filed under the name Lupinus angustifolius (narrow-leaved blue lupine). Its description in RNAcentral is "long non-coding RNA (LANG_LNC000859)". Lineage: Eukaryota; Viridiplantae; Streptophyta; Magnoliopsida; Fabales; Fabaceae. The record is from RNAcentral.